RNAcentral lists this ribosomal RNA (403 nucleotides) under uncultured bacterium. RNAcentral describes it as "bacterial SSU rRNA". It matches the Rfam family "Bacterial small subunit ribosomal RNA", at positions 355 to 775 of the family's 1533-position model. The record is from RNAcentral.
UAGGGAAUUUUGGACAAUGGGCGAAAGCCUGAUCCAGCAACGCCGCGUGUGCGAUGAAGGCCUUCGGGUUGUAAAGCACUUUAGGGGAGAUGAGAAUGGACAGUACCCCCUGAAUAAGCCUCGGCUAACUACGUGCCAGCAGCCGCGGUAAGACGUAGGAGGCGAGCGUUAUCCGGAUUUAUUGGGCGUAAAGCGCGUGCAGGCGGUUCUGUAAGUUGGGUAUGAAAUCUCCUGGCUUAACUGGGAGAGGCUACACAAAACUGCAGAGCUUGAGAAUGGGAGAGGGAGGUGGAAUUCCGGGUGUAGUGGUGAAAUGCGUAGAUAUCCGGAGGAACACCAGUGGCGAAAGCGGCCUCCUAGACCAUUUCUGACGCUCAGACGCGAAAGCUAGGGUAGCAAACGG